UUUAACUUCCAAGCAACCCCUUCAAACCUUUUCUCGGAUCGCAUACCCCGUCCAUCUUGAAGGCGAUCACCACCAUCGCCAUGGCCAAUGAUCACUCUCCUUCCACGCCACACCUCUGCCAGUGCUCCUCCCCCAUCGACGCGCCUUGGUCUGAGGCGUCCCCUUCCCCCGUCUACCUCCCCAUCCGCGUCCCCGCCAUUAAUGCCCCUUCCUCCAACAUCGUCGCGAUCAUCCUCUCUCCUGUCCCCCAACCCCUUCCCAUCCACACUCCGCGGUGAGACAUCGGAGCUCGUUCUCCAAGUGUAUACUCUAGAUCUCAGUUUGCUAAUCAUUUUCAGGACUGUGGAAGCAAGGAUUGUUGUAGUUGGUAUAUCAACAAUAUGCAGUCAGAAAGAAAACCAUAAUCAGUUAGUAUGUAAAGUGUUUAUAUCUCCUUGUAUUUUCUCAAGCUAUGAAGGCACUUUGGCUCGCUUUUUAUAUCACCAAUGCCAUCCUUGUCUUCCUUGUUAUUCCCUUGACAAUCUUCUAUUAUGAGGCCGACCAGGACAAGAGCAUGGUCAAGAGGUUGAGGAGCUCUCUAAUGUGAGUGAUUAUGUCUGCCAUUAUCUGCACGCUCAUUUUUGGAAUUCUCUAUGGCUAGAUUUUGUGAACUCUCUGUUUGUGUUUAUUUUGGCCAUUGUUGCAUUGUAAUGAAAUGCCAUUGUUGAAUCUA
Molecule: RNA transcript, 712 nt
Organism: Dioscorea cayenensis subsp. rotundata (Guinea yam)
Lineage: Eukaryota; Viridiplantae; Streptophyta; Magnoliopsida; Dioscoreales; Dioscoreaceae
Exons: 3
Source: RefSeq, a predicted model, not a curated record